Molecule: ribosomal RNA, 1074 nt
Filed under: Staphylococcus aureus F89075
Lineage: Bacteria; Bacillati; Bacillota; Bacilli; Caryophanales; Staphylococcaceae
Description: bacterial SSU rRNA
Rfam family: Bacterial small subunit ribosomal RNA
Source: RNAcentral
AGAGUUUGAUCCUGGCUCAGGAUGAACGCUGGCGGCGUGCCUAAUACAUGCAAGUCGAGCGAACGGACGAGAAGCUUGCUUCUCUGAUGUUAGCGGCGGACGGGUGAGUAACACGUGGAUAACCUACCUAUAAGACUGGGAUAACUUCGGGAAACCGGAGCUAAUACCGGAUAAUAUUUUGAACCGCAUGGUUCAAAAGUGAAAGACGGUCUUGCUGUCACUUAUAGAUGGAUCCGCGCUGCAUUAGCUAGUUGGUAAGGUAACGGCUUACCAAGGCAACGAUGCAUAGCCGACCUGAGAGGGUGAUCGGCCACACUGGAACUGAGACACGGUCCAGACUCCUACGGGAGGCAGCAGUAGGGAAUCUUCCGCAAUGGGCGAAAGCCUGACGGAGCAACGCCGCGUGAGUGAUGAAGGUCUUCGGAUCGUAAAACUCUGUUAUUAGGGAAGAACAUAUGUGUAAGUAACUGUGCACAUCUUGACGGUACCUAAUCAGAAAGCCACGGCUAACUACGUGCCAGCAGCCGCGGUAAUACGUAGGUGGCAAGCGUUAUCCGGAAUUAUUGGGCGUAAAGCGCGCGUAGGCGGUUUUUUAAGUCUGAUGUGAAAGCCCACGGCUCAACCGUGGAGGGUCAUUGGAAACUGGAAAACUUGAGUGCAGAAGAGGAAAGUGGAAUUCCAUGUGUAGCGGUGAAAUGCGCAGAGAUAUGGAGGAACACCAGUGGCGAAGGCGACUUUCUGGUCUGUAACUGACGCUGAUGUGCGAAAGCGUGGGGAUCAAACAGGAUUAGAUACCCUGGUAGUCCACGCCGUAAACGAUGAGUGCUAAGUGUUAGGGGGUUUCCGCCCCUUAGUGCUGCAGCUAACGCAUUAAGCACUCCGCCUGGGGAGUACGACCGCAAGGUUGAAACUCAAAGGAAUUGACGGGGACCCGCACAAGCGGUGGAGCAUGUGGUUUAAUUCGAAGCAACGCGAAGAACCUUACCAAAUCUUGACAUCCUUUGACAACUCUAGAGAUAGAGCUUUCCCCUUCGGGGGACAAAGUGACAGGUGGUGCAUGGUUGUCGUCAGCUC